AUUGAACGCUGGCGGCAUGCCUUACACAUGCAAGUCGAACGGUAACAGGUCUUCGGAUGCUGACGAGUGGCGAACGGGUGAGUAAUACAUCGGAACGUGCCCGAUCGUGGGGGAUAACGAAGCGAAAGCUUUGCUAAUACCGCAUAAGAUCUAAGGAUGAAAGCAGGGGACCGCAAGGCCUUGCGCGAACGGAGCGGCCGAUGGCAGAUUAGGUAGUUGGUGGGAUAAAAGCUUACCAAGCCGACGAUCUGUAGCUGGUCUGAGAGGACGACCGGCCACACUGGGACUGAGACACGGCCCAGACUCCUACGGGAGGCAGCAGGGGGGAAUUUUGGACAAUGGCGAAAGCCUGAUCCAGCCAUGCCGCGUGCAGGAUGAAGGCCUUCGGGUUGUAAACUGCUUUUGUACGGAACGAAAAGACUCUUUCUAAUAAAGAGGGUCCAUGACGGUACCGUAAGAAUAAGCACCGGCUAACUACGUGCCAGCCGCCGCAGUAA
This 497-nucleotide ribosomal RNA is filed under the name uncultured bacterium. RNAcentral describes it as "partial 16S ribosomal RNA". It matches the Rfam family "Bacterial small subunit ribosomal RNA", at positions 30 to 523 of the family's 1533-position model. The record is from RNAcentral.